RNAcentral lists this ribosomal RNA (253 nucleotides) under uncultured bacterium. RNAcentral's name for it is "partial 16S ribosomal RNA". It matches the Rfam family "Bacterial small subunit ribosomal RNA", at positions 524 to 776 of the family's 1533-position model. The record is from RNAcentral.
UACGAAGGGGACUAGCGUUGUUCGGAAUUACUGGGCGUAAAGCGCACGUAGGCGGAUUUGUAAGUCAGGGGUGAAAUCCCGGGGCUCAACCUCGGAACUGCCUUUGAUACUGCAAAUCUCGAGUCCGAUAGAGGUGGGUGGAAUUCCUAGUGUAGAGGUGAAAUUCGUAGAUAUUAGGAAGAACACCGGUGGCGAAGGCGGCCCACUGGAUCGGUACUGACGCUGAGGCGCGAAAGCGUGGGGAGCGAACAGG